GAUGAACGCUGGCGGCGUGCCUAAUACAUGCAAGUCGAGCGAACAGAUGAGGAGCUUGCUCCUCUGACGUUAGCGGCGGACGGGUGAGUAACACGUGGAUAACCUACCUAUAAGACUGGGAUAACUUCGGGAAACCGGAGCUAAUACCGGAUAAUAUAUUGAACCGCAUGGUUCAAUAGUGAAAGACGGUUUUGCUGUCACUUAUAGAUGGAUCCGCGCCGCAUUAGCUAGUUGGUAAGGUAACGGCUUACCAAGGCAACGAUGCGUAGCCGACCUGAGAGGGGGAUCGGCCACACUGGAACGGAGACAGGGUCCAGACUCCUACGGGAGGCAGAAGUAGGGAAUCUUCCGCAAUGGGCGAAAGCCUGACGGGGCAACGCCGCGUGGGUGAUGAAGGUCUUCGGAUCGUAAAACUCUGUUAUUAGGGAAGAACAAAUGUGUAAGUAACUAUGCACGUCUUGACGGUACCUAAUCAGAAAGCCACGGCUAACUACGU
RNAcentral lists this ribosomal RNA (496 nucleotides) under uncultured bacterium. Its description in RNAcentral is "partial 16S ribosomal RNA". It matches the Rfam family "Bacterial small subunit ribosomal RNA", at positions 28 to 506 of the family's 1533-position model. The record is from RNAcentral.